RNAcentral lists this unclassified non-coding RNA (805 nucleotides) under uncultured Staphylococcus sp. RNAcentral's name for it is "partial contains 16S ribosomal RNA and 16S-23S ribosomal RNA intergenic spacer". The stretch from base 388 to 805 matches the Rfam family "Bacterial large subunit ribosomal RNA", at positions 1 to 410 of the family's 2925-position model. Lineage: Bacteria; Bacillati; Bacillota; Bacilli; Caryophanales; Staphylococcaceae. The record is from RNAcentral.
CCCGGGUGGAGUAACCAUUUAUGGAGCUAGCCGUCGAAGGUGGGACAAAUGAUUGGGGUGAAGUCGUAACAAGGUAGCCGUAUCGGAAGGUGCGGCUGGAUCACCUCCUUUCUAAGGAUAUAUUCGGAACAACUUCUACGAAGUUGAAAAGGAAUAACAUUGACAUAUUGGAUUCCGUUUUGAAUGGUCCUAAUUUGAGGAUUCCACAUAAAUUGGACAUUGAAAACUAAAUAAGUAAGUAAAAUAUAAAUUUUACCAAGCAAAACCGAAUGAAUUAAAGUUUGAAAAAGCUUGAAUUCCAAACAAAUAAUCCCUAGUGGUCCAAAGAACACUCCCAGAUUAAUAACAUUUUGGGUUUAAAUGAAACGAUGUUUGAUUUAAACCAACGAUUAAGUUAUUAAGGGCGCACGGGGGAUGCCUUGGCACUAAAAACCGAUGAAGGACGUUACUAACGACCAUAUGCUUUGGGGAACUGUAAGUAAGCUGUGAUCCAGAAAUUUCCGAAUGGGGAAACCCAGCACGAAUUAUGUCGUGGUAUCGACAUGUGAAUAUAUAUCAUGGCUGAAGGCAUACCCGGAAAACUGAAACAUCUUAGUACCCGGAAGAAGAAAAAGAAAAAUCGAUUCCCUGAAUAACGGCGAGCGAAACGGGAAGAGCCCAAACCAAUAAGCUUGCUUAUUGGGGUUGUAGGACACUCUAUACGGAGUUACAAAUGUAUUAAUUAGACGAAUUAUCUGGAAAGAUAAAUCAAAGAAAGUAAUAAUCCUGGUAGUCGAAAAUUUAUACACUCUUGAGUGGAUGCCUG